AAAAAAAAUAAUACUUUCGUAUAAUCUCGGUAAUAUGGUCCGAGAGUUUCUACAAACUACCGUAUAAUAGUUAGGCUACGAAAAUAGUAGG
Molecule: non-coding RNA, 91 nt
Filed under: Bacillus massilioanorexius
Lineage: Bacteria; Bacillati; Bacillota; Bacilli; Caryophanales; Bacillaceae
Description: Purine riboswitch
Rfam family: Purine riboswitch aptamer
About the family: Riboswitches are metabolite binding domains within certain messenger RNAs that serve as precision sensors for their corresponding targets. Allosteric rearrangement of mRNA structure is mediated by ligand binding, and this results in modulation of gene expression.
Source: RNAcentral